GGCAAAGUACACAUAUAAGAUGUGUGUUGAUAGAAACUAAAAAGCACAUCCUUUCUAUGUUCUGACCUGCUAGGUUUUUUUUAAUUCCAGAAAGUUAUUUGAUAACCACAUAACAUCUCAAGAACUAGUUGGGUUUGAAUUUCAGCUCUGCCUUAUAUUAACUCUGGGAUCUUAGGUAAUUUAUUCAACUUUUCCUUACCUCAGUUUCCCAUUUAUAAGAUGAUUAAUAUAUAUGCAGUACUGCUUUGCAUAUAAUAAUAGCUCAGUGAACCACAGAGAUGACCCCCCAAAUAGAUAUUCUAUUCCAUACUUUGUCCUGUUGAGCCAAUUGCUCUACCACAACCACAGCAACAUUUAAAUAUUUUGCGGGAAUCUUAAACACAGCAUGCCCCAAAUCACACUUAUCAUAUUCUGACUGAAAACUGGUUCUUCCAUUGUCUCCAUUUUAUUUUCUGAAUUUGCUAUAAUUCUCCAAUUUAAGCUAAUUGGAAGCUCAAGUUGCUUCCCCAAUUUUGGUACAGUUACCACAUAGCUUUCUUACUCCAUUUUAAGGGUUAAAGGAUUUCAAAUCUGAAAUCUUGCACAGAAUUCUGUCUGCAAAGAAAACUGCACAGAAAAUUUAUAAUGGGAUAUUUGAAGAAAAAAAUAGCUUAUCCUGAACAGCACCAGAAGUUUCAUUUUUUUCUGUACUGUUGUAACUCAGCAGAUAAUGUUUACAUUUGUGUAUAUGUCCUCCAACACAAAUAAGUAUGGUUGCUAAAUAAUAUUAUGUCAUUAAACUUCUUGUUUAAUGCUUCUUCAUUAUGAUUCAUUAUGAUUGUUUAAUGCUUCUUCAUUAUGAUGUGUUAGAAGUUUUUCAAAAGUUUAUACUUUGUCUCUUAGUGGCAAUUAAAAAAGAAAUAAACAUGAACUCCCCAAAUGAGCCACAAAAAUAAAUCAGCAUGUCUAAAUUUCAGAAUGAGAAACAAAGAUGCAAUUCUCUCCUCAGACCAAACGAAGCAGAGAUUUUCAAACUGCAGAGGUGCCACAGAAAAGGCUGAAUUCUCAAGCAUAGUGAGCUUAGACUUUAUAGCUAAAAUAGAAAUUUCAGCUUUUAGAGCUGAAAUAGAAGGUCUGAGCAUUAACAAAACAUUAGAACCUUGCAUUUAAAAAUUAGUAUGAGAAAUUUUUGUUAUUGUGCUGAGACCCUUACACACAUGAUUUCUUCUAGCCAAUACAGGCACAGAUUCAACAAAGAUGGUGCUUUAUUGUGAAAAUAGAAUAUUCACCUUGUCUUCUGACAUCAUAAAGACCACCCACAUUUGCACAGAUGCUGCUGCUAUAGUACUUUCAGGCAAGGCCAAGGCUUCUUGAAAGGCUGGUCAUGCCCCAGUGAUCAAUGAAGAACUCAGGGAUAUCCCAAAACUCAGGACUAUAAGGCACAAUGGGGGAGCAGGUACCAGGUGGCCAGCAUCCUAAAUGACUCUCAGCAGCUGCAGAGAAUGUAAAUAACAAGAGCUGCCUAUAAAUCUACCUCAGAAGACAAAGGGAAAAGCAAAACUCUGCCCAGGAAGACCUUACUUUACAAACCAGCUCAACCAUAUUUACCAGCCUUCCUGUGGUCAUUUGUCUGAGCUCCAGCUAGUGAAGUAUGAGUAGAACGGACAUGCACCACUUCCAGACCUGGCAC
Molecule: long non-coding RNA, 1669 nt
Filed under: Homo sapiens (human)
Lineage: Eukaryota; Metazoa; Chordata; Mammalia; Primates; Hominidae
Description: HSALNT0018753
Source: RNAcentral